CCUACGGGGGGCUGCAGUGGGGAAUAUUGGACAAUGGGGGCAACCCUGAUCCAGCCAUGCCGCGUGUGUGAAGAAGGCCCUCGGGUUGUAAAGCACUUUCAGUGAGGAAGAACGCCUGGUGGUUAAUACCCAUCAGGAAAGACAUCACUCACAGAAGAAGCACCGGCUAACUCCGUGCCAGCAGCCGCGGUAAUACGGAGGGUGCGAGCGUUAAUCGGAAUUACUGGGCGUAAAGCGCGCGUAGGUGGCUUGAUAAGCCGGUUGUGAAAGCCCCGGGCUCAACCUGGGAACGGCAUCCGGAACUGCCAAGCUAGAGUGCAGGAGAGGAAGGUAGAAUUCCCGGUGUAGCGGUGAAAUGCGUAGAGAUCGGGAGGAAUACCAGUGGCGAAGGCGGCCUUCUGGACUGACACUGACACUGAGGUGCGAAAGCGUGGGUAGCAAACAGGAUUAGAUACCCUAGUAGUC
RNAcentral lists this ribosomal RNA (465 nucleotides) under Vreelandella stevensii. RNAcentral describes it as "partial 16S ribosomal RNA". It matches the Rfam family "Bacterial small subunit ribosomal RNA", at positions 338 to 795 of the family's 1533-position model. The record is from RNAcentral. Lineage: Bacteria; Pseudomonadati; Pseudomonadota; Gammaproteobacteria; Oceanospirillales; Halomonadaceae.